GACAGAGGGUGCAAACGUUGCUCGGAAUCACUGGGCGUAAAGGGCGUGUAGGCGGGAAGGAAAGUCAGAUGUGAAAUCCCUGGGCUCAACCCAGGAACUGCAUUUGAAACUCCCUUUCUUGAGUGUCGGAGAGGAAAGCGGAAUUCCUGGUGUAGAGGUGAAAUUCGUAGAUAUCAGGAGGAACACCGGUGGCGAAGGCGGCUUUCUGGACGACAACUGACGCUGGAGACGCGAAAGCGUGGGGAGCAAACAGG
Molecule: ribosomal RNA, 254 nt
Filed under: uncultured bacterium
Lineage: Bacteria
Description: partial 16S ribosomal RNA
Rfam family: Bacterial small subunit ribosomal RNA
Source: RNAcentral